AUUGAACGCUGGCGGCAUGCCUUACACAUGCAAGUCGAACGGUAACGCGGGGCAACCUGGCGACGAGUGGCGAACGGGUGAGUAAUGCAUCGGAACGUGCCCGGUAGUGGGGGAUAACUGCUCGAAAGAGCAGCUAAUACCGCAUACGACCUGAGGGUGAAAGGGGGGGAUCGCAAGACCUCUCGCUAUCGGAGCGGCCGAUGUCGGAUUAGCUAGUUGGUGGGGUAAAAGCCCACCAAGGCGACGAUCCGUAGCUGGUCUGAGAGGACGACCAGCCACACUGGGACUGAGACACGGCCCAGACUCCUACGGGAGGCAGCAGUGGGGAAUUUUGGACAAUGGACGCAAGUCUGAUCCAGCCAUGCCGCGUGCGGGAAGAAGGCCUUCGGGUCGUAAACCGCUUUUGUCAGGGAAGAAAUCUUCUGAGUUAAUACCUCGGGAGGAUGACGGUACCUGAAGAAUAAGCACCGGCUAACUACGUGCCAGCCGCCGCGGUAA
This 498-nucleotide ribosomal RNA is filed under the name uncultured bacterium. RNAcentral describes it as "partial 16S ribosomal RNA". It matches the Rfam family "Bacterial small subunit ribosomal RNA", at positions 29 to 523 of the family's 1533-position model. The record is from RNAcentral.